GAGGGUAUAGCUCAGUGGAAGAGCGUGUGCUUAGCACACACAAGAUUCCGGGUUCAAUUCCCAGUACCUCCA
This 72-nucleotide transfer RNA is filed under the name Camelus ferus (Wild Bactrian camel). It matches the Rfam family "tRNA". From Rfam's summary of the family: Transfer RNA (tRNA) molecules are approximately 80 nucleotides in length. Their secondary structure includes four short double-helical elements and three loops (D, anti-codon, and T loops). Further hydrogen bonds mediate the characteristic L-shaped molecular structure. tRNAs have two regions of fundamental functional importance: the anti-codon, which is responsible for specific mRNA codon recognition, and the 3' end, to which the tRNAs corresponding amino acid is attached (by aminoacyl-tRNA synthetases). tRNAs cope with the degeneracy of the genetic code in two manners: having more than one tRNA (with a specific anti-codon) for a particular amino acid; and 'wobble' base-pairing, i.e. permitting non-standard base-pairing at the 3rd anti-codon position. Lineage: Eukaryota; Metazoa; Chordata; Mammalia; Artiodactyla; Camelidae. The record is from Rfam by way of RNAcentral.